This 801-nucleotide ribosomal RNA is filed under the name uncultured bacterium. RNAcentral describes it as "bacterial SSU rRNA". It matches the Rfam family "Bacterial small subunit ribosomal RNA", at positions 8 to 796 of the family's 1533-position model. The record is from RNAcentral.
AGAGUUUGAUCCUGGCUCAGGACGAACGCUGGCGGCGCGCUUAACACAUGCAAGUCGAGCGAGAACCGAGCCUUCGGGCUCGGGGAAAGCGGCGAACGGGUGAGUAACACGUGGGCAACCCACCCUUGGUACCGGGAUAGCCCGGGGAAACUCGGAUUAAUACCGGAUGGCCCAGCAGCUCUUCGGGGCGGCUGGAAAAGGUAGCUUCGGCCUCCGACCAAGGACGGGCCCGCGGCGGAUUAGCUUGUUGGCGGGGUAACGGCCCACCAAGGCGACGAUCCGUAGCUGGUCUGAGAGGACGAUCAGCCACACUGGGACUGAGACACGGCCCAGACUCCUACGGGAGGCAGCAGUGGGGAAUCUUGCGCAAUGGGCGAAAGCCUGACGCAGCGACGCCGCGUGGGGGAAGAAGGCUUUCGGGUUGUAAACCCCUUUCAGGAGGGACGAAGCUACUCGGGUGAAUAGCCCAGAGGGUGACGGUACCUCCAGAAGAAGCCCCGGCUAACUACGUGCCAGCAGCCGCGGUAAUACGUAGGGGGCAAGCGUUGUCCGGAUUUAUUGGGCGUAAAGAGCGUGUAGGCGGCCAUGUAGGUCCGUUGUGAAAACUCGAGGCUCAACCUCGAGACGCCGAUGGAAACCAUGUGGCUAGAGUCCGGAAGAGGAGAGUGGAAUUCCCGGUGUAGCGGUGAAAUGCGCAGAUAUCGGGAAGAACACCCGUGGCUAAGGCGGCUCUCUAGUACGGUACUGACGCUGAGACGCGAAAGCGUGGGGAGCGAACAGGAUUAGAUACCCCCGUAGUCC